UAAACUUGUGGUGGGGUAGAGAAUGACAUUUGGAACAAAGGUUUGAUGUGUCAUUCAACUGGUGAACCAACUUACUGGCCACCCGACCUAACGAAAAUUCAAGACGUUCUUGAUUUUACUAUUUCGAAAGGUUUUAAUUUAAGGUACUCACGCUCUAAGACCUGUUCGGAUCUACUAUCAAAUCACUGUUCUAAGUAAACACGCCGCUACUCUCAAUGAAUAAACUUGUGGCGGUUAGAUUUAAUUGAAAUUUAAUUUAAAUUUAUUUUGCAAUUUUAAUUUUAAAAUACGCGACAAUAUCGAAAACCCACAAUACGUCAAUAUUGCAUAAUAAACGUUCAGUAAAUAUUGCCAUUCGGGAUCGCGGUUAAUAUAAAAAUAUUGAACGUGUAGCCAGCGUCAUAGAAACUGAUGACUGCUUAUUUUUUCUUUUGCCUUUUGUUAUGGCAUCUGUAGGAGUUGAAUUUAGCAUCAGAAGCCAUAAUAAUUUUUACAAAACUCGUUUAUCAAAAAACUCGCGGUAUAACGAUUGCAAAACAUAGCUGUAUGGUUUUAGUGGAUACAUGCGUUUAUUUCAUUCACCGACAACCACAAAUUGGCGACCUCCGGCGUUUUUUAAAUAAAAAUCCGAGAAAUAUACUAAUUUCAGCAUUAGCGCGAUGCCGUGCCCUCGUUCCAUCCCCGUUUAGUACAAUCAGUCGAUUCUACAAACUCGCUCAACAUAGUGUGCGGCAAAGUGUGGAAAAUAAAAACCAAACACGCGAUCAUAGA
Long non-coding RNA from Bactrocera dorsalis (oriental fruit fly), 771 nucleotides. RefSeq lists it as uncharacterized. The record is from RefSeq and is a predicted model, not a curated record. NCBI's taxonomy places the organism in Eukaryota, Metazoa, Arthropoda, Insecta, Diptera, Tephritidae. The transcript is spliced from 2 exons.